GCUGGGCAUGGUGGCACAUGCCUGUAAUCCCAGCUACUUGGGAAGCUGAGGCAGGAGAAUUUCUUGAACCUGGGAGGUAGAGGUUGCAGUGAGCUGAGAUCAAGCCACUGCACUUUGGCCUGGGCAACAGAGUGAGACCCUGUCUCAA
Molecule: unclassified non-coding RNA, 148 nt
Organism: Macaca mulatta (Rhesus monkey)
Lineage: Eukaryota; Metazoa; Chordata; Mammalia; Primates; Cercopithecidae
Rfam family: Metazoan signal recognition particle RNA
About the family: The signal recognition particle (SRP) is a universally conserved ribonucleoprotein. It is involved in the co-translational targeting of proteins to membranes.
Source: Ensembl